Molecule: long non-coding RNA, 347 nt
Organism: Carassius auratus (goldfish)
Lineage: Eukaryota; Metazoa; Chordata; Actinopteri; Cypriniformes; Cyprinidae
Exons: 3
Source: RefSeq, a predicted model, not a curated record
CUGAAACAGUCUAUGCUCUGAAAUCAUGGCAUCAAACCGUAAUUUGAAAAGACAUUUGAAUUGCGACGGGACUCAACCAGAGACGCCCAGAACAACAAAAUACAGAAGACUUCAUCAAAAAAAGAAACCACUGAAAUUAAUAUACAAGAGAUUUCUUUGUACAUCUCCAGUUCCCAACUCUUUGGACAGAGGAACAGUUUGUGAAAAGAUACAACUUACACAUGUUGAUGCAGAUAAUUGUAAAGUGCAAAGAAGCCUGCAAGACAGUAAAAAUCAGAAAGGAGACACAGAAGAAAGGAGGCAAGAUGUGAUAUCUGAAACAGUGAUAAGGUUUAAGAAGACAGAAC